Molecule: long non-coding RNA, 239 nt
Organism: Trifolium pratense (red clover)
Lineage: Eukaryota; Viridiplantae; Streptophyta; Magnoliopsida; Fabales; Fabaceae
Exons: 3
Source: RefSeq, a predicted model, not a curated record
AAAAUGCAUCAAUCCUAAGGAGAUGUUUUUUGCUCUUCUUCUCCUUUAAUUUGCUAUGGGUCAAGUUACAAAUUCGACCUUUGUGUCUGAAUCAACAUACAAGGAAAAAGGUGAAUGAGGAGAUCUAUAAUAGGAUAUAAAGAAUUCUAUUUCACAAGGUGUAUGUGAACCGCUUGGAUCUUAAGAGAAUGAUAGAAACAAAAAAAAAGUUGAAAAUAAAUUUUUUGAAUGAUUUUACU